This 433-nucleotide ribosomal RNA is filed under the name uncultured bacterium. RNAcentral's name for it is "partial 16S ribosomal RNA". It matches the Rfam family "Bacterial small subunit ribosomal RNA", at positions 29 to 507 of the family's 1533-position model. The record is from RNAcentral.
AACGAACGCUGGCGGCAUGCCUAACACAUGCAAGUCGAACGAGACCUUCGGGAGUGGUGGCGCACGGGUGCGUCAAGUGUGGGAACCUGCCCUUAGGUUCCGAAUACCUCCCCGAAAGGGGUGCUAACACCGGGUAAUGUAUUCGGACCACAGAUUCAUCGUAUUUGGAUGGGCAGGCGUUGGUUUAGCCAGUUGGUAGUGUAAAAGCCUACGAAGGCGAGGAUAGAUAGCUGGUCUGAGACGGAGAUCAGCCACUCUGGGAGGGGGACACGGCCGAGACUCCUACGGGAGGGAGGAGUGGGUAAUACAGGACAACGGGCGAAAUCCUGAUCCAGCACUGCUGCUAGAGUCAUUUAGUCCUUAGGGUUGUGAAGCUCUUUUACCCCGGAUGAUAAUGACGGUACCGAGAGAAUAAGCACCGGCUAACUUCGUG